UUUAUAUUUUAAAAAUGCAUAGAACAUAAAGCUUAAAAAUUGAUCUUCAUGUUACAUGUAUAAAUAGGCCUGUGUACAUAUGUAAACAUAUAUUUAAAAAAAUAUAACCUAUUCAUGAAUCAUGUUAUGUAUAGUUUUUAACAAGAGACAAUAUUGUGAAACAACGAAUGUGAAAUGACUAUGAGUGUACACAAAGCAACACGCGCACACACGCGCACACACACACACACACACACACACACACACACACACACACACACACACACACACACACACACAGAUGCCUGGAUGCUAUAUGCACACAAUUACAUAUUUAUCAAAACCAGCAAGUACACACAUAAUUCACCCACUCGACCAACAAAAAGAAUCAAAAUGUUUUUUCAGACUACAUCCUAUCUUACAUUUUUUCAUUCUGAUUGUCAUUGCUCAUUGUUUCAGUAUAUGUGUUAUAAUCAAAAUCUUCAACGCUAGUUCACAUACUGUGUUUGAACUCUAUCUCAUAAUACUGUAUGGUUACAAUUUUUUUGUUGUUGUUGCUUCCGUCCUGUGCUCAUUGUAGUGGACAUGAAAAAAAUCUAAUAUAUUGUAUUAUUAUUAUUUUUUUAUUAUUAUUAUUUUUUACAGUUAAAGAGAAUCUGAAAGCACAAAAAAACUGGCUUUAUAUAUAUAUAUAUAACAAAAGUAAAGUGUUGGUAUAAAAAUACUCCAAGCACGUUUUCAAAAAAUAUAAAAGUUCUUUUAAAGUUUCACUUUCCCAAUUUGCACGAAUGGGUCGAUAGAACUACAAAAUGCAUUUUAAAUUCAUGAUUUAAUAAUUCUGUAAUUAUUUUAAAUGAUGUAUUGUUUUAAUUAUAGAUGUAUUUAUUUACAUAAUGUUAUAAUUCUGCAUGUUUAUGUUUGUAUGCUGCGUGACUGCGGCGUGUUUUAAUGCGCGUGCGCGUUGAACGUUCGAAUCGCUUUCAAACGCUGGAGCGGAUCUGAGUUGCCAUGGAAACGGGGAAACGUCAGGCAGCAGGACUCCGUCUCGCUGUUGUUUUCACGGAUUUUAGGGGAGACAGAAAACCCCCUCUACAACAAAGGAGAAGCUGACAGAGGAGGAGGAAACACAGAUCCUUCCAUGCUGAUGGCCUCCUGCACCCCAGCAGAGCUGAGUUACCUCCUGUCAAAGGCCAUGAACCAGAUGACUAUAUGAGACUGUCCUUGAAAGGCCUGUAGGCUAAAUAAUCAGCUAAAUGAGGUCUGUUUUGAGUUAUGUUUUCAAGUGAAGAGACGCCAUACUGUUCCACUCAAAGGGGGUCGACAACUUUAGGCAUAUGAGAUGUAAUCUCUAGCGUUUGGAGCUGUGAUUCUUCAGGACAAGAUGCCAUUCACACUUGAUACAUGAAGAUGCACAUCACUGACAGGCUUUCCUGUGUAUCACUGAUUCAAGUUUUCCACUAUUGUAUUUAUCCAAAUGAGGUUCUCAGGGAUCCCCAGUUGAAGGCAUCAGGACAUCAGAUGUUGGCCUGGACAUAUGUACCAACAGUACACCACAAAGACCUCUGCUUUUAAAUGGAUGGCUGAUUACUACCAUGUUCUGUGCGGGUAUUAUUAUAGCAAAACUGAGCACCUGUGACAGUGGGAUUUCUAAUUUUAAAGAAUAGUCAUACAUCAGUAAAUUAUUUUUUUAUUUAAAAAUUUGAAAGGAUUUUUAAAAGUUGCAAACUUUUUUCUCCAGUUACAAAAACAGCUACACCUUUUCAAUUUCUUCAUUGGGGGUGCACAAAUCCUAUUUCACAAAUUAAGAAAUUGAUAUGCUCACAUUUAAGCCGUGUUCUUUGGACACUGUAACAGUCCUGAUAUGAUGUCACACUUUGCAGUAUCUUUUUUAUUAACAUGAAUUCAAAUUUUAACAAAUAUAUUCAAAAUGUAAAGAUAUACAAUCUGACAAUCUGAUCUUGUCAUUAUUAAUCAAUCAGUAAUCAACACUGCACCACCCCGAAAUUACCAUGCACUGUAGAAGUAUGGUUUUGGCAAGAAAUGAACAGUAGCUAAAUAUUUAUUAUAAAUGCUACUAUUUGACAUUCAGUAUUUUAGUCUAUAUUAAAGGGAUACAAGUCUCUUUUAUGUAUGAUGUUUUUUUUUUAUUACAAACUGUUUUUUGUUUGUUUGUUUGUUUUGUAGCUAGCACUUAAUAUUUCUUUAAUGUUACCACAUGAGAAUAGCCAAACAGUGUAGGUGAUUCACAAAAUCAUACACAAAGAAAUGUGUAUGGAAGUAAUUUAAUGCCAAAUGUUUUUGAAAUAAAAAGCUUGUUGAAUUGCACUAAUUGAAAAAAAAAACAUGCAUCACAUUAGCUGUGCUUGCAUU
Long non-coding RNA from Megalobrama amblycephala (Wuchang bream), 2349 nucleotides. RefSeq lists it as uncharacterized. Lineage: Eukaryota; Metazoa; Chordata; Actinopteri; Cypriniformes; Xenocyprididae. The record is from RefSeq and is a predicted model, not a curated record. The transcript has 9 exons.